Molecule: ribosomal RNA, 492 nt
Filed under: uncultured bacterium
Lineage: Bacteria
Description: partial 16S ribosomal RNA
Rfam family: Bacterial small subunit ribosomal RNA
Source: RNAcentral
AGUGAACGCUGGCGGUAGGCCUAACACAUGCAAGUCGAACGGCAGCACAGUAAGAGCUUGCUCUUACGGGUGGCGAGUGGCGGACGGGUGAGGAAUACAUCGGAAUCUACUUUUUCGUGGGGGAUAACGUAGGGAAACUUACGCUAAUACCGCAUACGACCUACGGGUGAAAGCAGGGGAUCUUCGGACCUUGCGCGAUUGAAUGAGCCGAUGUCGGAUUAGCGAGUUGGCGGGGUAAAGGCCCACCAAGGCGACGAUCCGUAGCUGGUGUGAGAGGAGGAUCAGGCACACUGGAACUGAGAGACGGUCCAGACUCCUACGGGAGGCAGAAGUGGGGAAUAGUGGACAAUGGGCGCAAGCCUGAUCCAGCCAUACCGCGUGGGUGCAGAAGGCCUUCGGGUUGUAAAGCCCUUUUGUUGGGAAAGAAAAGCAGCAGGUUAAUACCCCGCUGUUCUGACGGUACCCAAAGAAUAAGCACCGGCUAACUUCGUG